This is an RNA transcript of Drosophila elegans, 4299 nucleotides long. It is a transcript of the gene named DNA repair protein Rev1, with no coding region annotated. The record is from RefSeq and is a predicted model, not a curated record. NCBI's taxonomy places the organism in Eukaryota, Metazoa, Arthropoda, Insecta, Diptera, Drosophilidae. The transcript has 9 exons.
CGAGACUGACAGCUGAGCGGCAUUUGGUGGAAUUUGUUCUCAUGAUUUCAAAAGUGAACUAAAACAUGUCUCGCGACGAAAAUAAUGGAUUUAGUGAAUGGGGCGGCUACUUCGAGGCCAAGAAAUCCAAGUUGGAGGAGCAGUUCGCGGCCGCCAGCGAUCCAUUUCGCAAAUCUGACCUGUUUAAAGGUAUUUCCAUAUUUGCUAAUGGCCUGACCAAUCCAUCGGCGGAUGAACUGAAGCGCAUUAUGAUGGUACACGGCGGAACCUUUCACCACUACGAAAGGAGCCACACUACCUUCCUAAUAGGCUCUGUGCUGCCAGACGUCAAGGUCCGGAACACGAAUCUCAGCAAAACUAUCAGUGCCAAGUGGGUGGUGGAUUGUCUGGCCAACAACAAAAUAAUGGACUACAAGCCUUAUCUGUUGUACACCAACCAGAAGACUUCGCAACCCAGGCUUGAUUUUGGAAAGAUGACCAAAAAUGGUAGUAUAAGUGAGAGCAAGAUGGUGAUGGAGCACCCGCCAAAAAAUGAGCUUGGCGGGAUUCUCAAGGAGCUACAGCAGGCGGAAAAGGAGGUCAGCUUAUCCGAGAUUAAGAUCACCAACUUGGCCACCGAAGACAGUACUGCAGAUGAAAGCAAAUUAAAGGUGGAGGAGCCCCCGAAAGAUGAGCUGGUCGGGAUUCUCAAGGAGCUGCAGCAGGCAGUGACCACUUCGCCGGAAAAGCAAGCCAAUUUAUCCGAGAUCAAGAUCACAAACUUGUCCACCACUUCAAAUACUUCUAGCGUAGCACGUACCGCCGCUGAUCCUAACUUUCUGAGCGAAUUCUACAAGAACUCCCGCCUGCACCACAUUGCCACUCUGGGAGCUGGCUUUAAGCAGUAUGUGUGUGAGCUGCGCCAGAAUCAAGGCUCAAAGGGAUUCCCCAAGCGUGAGACACUGAAAUCCCUCAAAAAAUCCAACCAAAUGGGCUCAGAGCGCUUUGUUAUGCAUAUCGACAUGGACUGUUUCUUUGUGUCCGUGGGCCUGCGCUCGCACCCCGAGCUCCGUGGCCUGCCCAUUGCAGUGACUCAUUCAAAAGGAGGCAGUGCAGCUACCGAUGUGCCCGUGCAUCCGCAGGCGGAUAGAAAGGUCGAGCUUGAGCUAUUCGCCAAGCGCUUUGAGCACCACCUUCAUGACAACACCAAAGCCGAUAAGGUACGCUCUGGUUUCGACAAGAAGAUGUCGCUCUCGGAGAUCGCCUCCUGCAGCUACGAGGCUCGGGCCAAGGGCAUUCGCAAUGGCAUGUUCGUUGGUCAGGCCUUGAAGCUCUGCCCGGAGCUGAAGACGAUCCCCUACGACUUUGAAGGCUACAAGGAAGUGGCCUUUGCCCUGUACAACACAGUGGCCCAGUACACCUUGAACAUCGAGGCAGUGAGCUGCGAUGAAAUGUUUGUGGAGCUAACAGACCUGAUAAACGAACUGAAGGUGGAUGUGAUGGCUUUUGUGGGGCAUCUCAGGCAGGAAGUGCACGCCAAGACGGGAUGUCCGUGUUCAGCGGGUGUGUCCGGCAAUAAACUACUGGCCCGCAUGGCUACCAAGGGGGCCAAGCCCAACGGCCAGUUCUUGCUGGACUGCAAACAGGAUAUUCUGUCCUACAUGGCGCCAAUGUCGCUUGAUGCUCUGCCAGGAGUGGGAAGCAGCAUGAGCCACAAGCUCAAGCUGGCGGGCUUGAACAACUGUGGAGAUGUGCAGGGGACAUCACUGGAGAGGCUGGAAACGGUUCUGGGCAAGAAACUGGGCCAGAACUUAUUCCAGAACUGCAGGGGCAUUGAUGAACGUCCCUUGGCUUUUGAACAAGCGCGCAAAACGGUGUCCGCCGAGGUAAACUUCGGCAUCCGCUUUACCAAUUCGAAUGACUGCGAAAAGUUUCUGCGCCAGCUUAGCGACGAGGUUACCAAGAGACUUAUCGACAUUAAGCGCAAAACCAGGUCAAUCAACCUGAAGAUUAUGGUCCGUGCCCCCGAAGCGCCAGUGGAAACCUCCAAGUAUAUGGGUCACGGAGUGUGCGACACCAUCAACAAGUCCGCGCUUAUUAAGCAUGCCACUGAUGAUGUAAAUGUAAUCACCUCGCAAGUGCUCAACCUGAUGAAGGAAGCCGAUCUGUCGCCCCUUGAACUGCGCGGGAUUGGCAUACACCUUACUAAGUUGGAGGAUGCCAGCGAAGUUCCAAAGGAGAAUGUCAUCAAGCGCAUGUUCGUCAAAAUGUCAGAGAUUAAGAAAGAUCAACCUGCAGUGAAGAAACCAUUAAUCGAAGUUAAGUCUGUGGCACUGGAACAUUCGACCACGUCACUAAACGGAGACAAAGUGGAGAAACCGCCAGCAGAUGAGAUCAAAGCCAAGACCCGGGAGCCCAGGAACGUGAUGGCCAUGCUGACAGCAGCAGCAGUGCAGGGAAGAAAAUCGCUAAACGUGGAAGUAGUGCCACCUGGUGCUGAACUCGAUCCAGAUAUUCUGGCUCAGUUGCCGGAGGAUAUACGCCUCGAAGUGCUCACGCAUAAGGAGCAAUACCUGCGCAUAGCCGAAAGCGAUGGAAACACCGCUGCUGCUCCUCGUUCUCCGCCGCCUUUGAUGAGGCUCAACCACUCCACAAAUGGCAGUCCCUUAAACGCCAGCGAUCUGAAACCAUCUACUUCCCGGGCUGCCGUGGCCCGAUUGCAAGAGCGUACAAUUCGCAAGGAGCAAGCACCUCGCGUCCGAUCGGAUGAGAUCGUGGCGGAAUACAUUGAUGAGCUGCCCAAGCACAUGCAUCCCGCCAUUCUGGAGUACAUCUCGCGACCCGCCAACGAAGUGCCCGGCCUGUUGAUGGAGCACAACUACAAGAGCCUGCUCAACGAAUGGGUCAGCCGGGAGGAGGUGCCUAAGCCAAAGGACGUGGAAUUAAUUCACCGACAGAUCUCCCACAUGAUUAAAAACGACAAAUUGAAUCACAUAUACGACGUGAUGAAGUAUUUUUGCCGCAUCAUUAAUGCGAAACGAAGCAGCUCCUGUUGCUGGCAUGUGGCAUACAAGCACAUCGAGGAGAAUAUUCAAAACCAGAUUCUGGAGCUUGAGGGCUACAGCCUUUGCUUCACCGAAAACAUUCGCUGCUACAAGUGCACGUAAUUUCCUGGGAGCACCUCAAACAUGUUUCAAACGGAUAAGGUUAAGCUGGCUGAAAAGAAAUGCCACCGAGCCAUUUACAACUUCAAAUGUGCUCAGGUAGCAAUUAACGUAGCAAGAGCGGUAAAUAAUGUGGGGCUGUGGAUUGGUUGCUGCGACGAUGGCGUUGAUAACUUCAUACGUUAAAGGGCAGAGCCCCGUCUUCGAGGUGGCUUUAAACUGGCGGUGGCUUAAACCAAACGCCCCGGUGGCUCUUUCCCAGCACAGCAAAGCCGGGCCACUCAAGACAAAUAGGCCAGGCGGGCACAACACCUGGCGGAACUGGCAAGUCAUAAUUUGCACUUUAAUGAAAGCGGCAUCGCAUCCACUCGAACAGCUUACCAUGAAGAGGAGAGGACAUGGCCUAAGAAUUCGCAAAAAAUAAUUUAACUAACAUAUUAAUUAAUACAAACUUAAACAGCUCACCAUUAAUAAACAAGUCUGAGGCCAAUUGGUAUCGCAAAAUCAGAGUCCAAACCAAGCUGCAGCAUUCAGGCGACUGCCCAAUAAGGAAACGGCUCCUCGAAGGCGAUUUUCAUCCAGUAUUCUCCUGAUUGUGGGGCCCUGAACCUCAAAGACUUUAAAGCUCCCCGUCUUGUAAGCGACAGCUGCCUUGCAUUUCUUACAGCAUUUUUGCCGCGACUAGUUUGCGGACUAGUCUAGUCUGCAUCCCAUCUUUUUUUUCUUCCAGAAUCUCAUCCAAACUAGGUUUCCAGCCCAUUGCAGUUGUUUUAAUUAAAGCUGAGCUUGAUUUUUUACUUGCGUUGACCGAACGACAGGUGCAAAGUGCUUGAACAACACAGAACCAUCAGAAACAGCCUUGAAUAACAUCUCUUUGUGAUUUGAAUUUUUCCAGGUGGUUGAAUGAUAAGUUACUGGCGUACAGGAACGGGAGUCUCAGACGAAAGGCUUUCCGCGCUGCUUUUGUGCUGUAUAUUACCCAGGACAUCCUGCAAAAACAUGUUUAACGAUAUUACUCCGAUUUUUGCAAAAUAGCUCGCCGUAUACAGAACCAAAGUGAAGGAACGGCUGCUAGUACUUCUAACGACCAAAGCUAUUCUAUCCCCAACAGUGUUUUCCUCAUCUUCAUAAUUAAAUAAACGACCGAGCAUUUGUA